GACGAACGCUGGCGGCGUGCUUAACACAUGCAAGUCGAACGGAAAGGCCCUGCUUUUGUGGGGUGCUCGAAUGGCGAACGGGUGAGUAACACGUGAGUAACCUGCCCUUGACUUUGGGAUAACUUCAGGAAACUGGGGCUAAUACCGGAUAGGAGCUCCUGCUGCAUGGUGGGGGGUUGGAAAGUUUCGGCGGUUGGGGAUGGACUCGCGGCUUAUCAGCUUGUUGGUGGGGUAGUGGCUUACCAAGGCUUUGACGGGUAGCCGGCCUGAGAGGGUGACCGGCCACAUUGGGACUGAGAUACGGCCCAGACUCCUACGGGAGGCAGCAGUGGGGAAUAUUGCACAAUGGGCGGAAGCCUGAUGCAGCAACGCCGCGUGCGGGAUGACGGCCUUCGGGUUGUAAACCGCUUUCGCCUGUGACGAAGCGUGAGUGACGGUAAUGGGUAAAGAAGCACCGGCUAACUACGUG
Molecule: ribosomal RNA, 469 nt
Filed under: uncultured bacterium
Lineage: Bacteria
Description: partial 16S ribosomal RNA
Rfam family: Bacterial small subunit ribosomal RNA
Source: RNAcentral